Molecule: ribosomal RNA, 481 nt
Filed under: uncultured Actinomycetes bacterium
Lineage: Bacteria; Bacillati; Actinomycetota; Actinomycetes
Description: bacterial SSU rRNA
Rfam family: Bacterial small subunit ribosomal RNA
Source: RNAcentral
UGGGGAAUCUUGCACAAUGGGCGAAAGCCUGAUGCAGCAACGCCGCGUGCGGGAAGAAGGCCCUAGGGUUGUAAACCGCUUUCAGCAGGGAAGAAAAUGACGGUACCUGCAGAAGAAGGUGCGGCCAACUACGUGCCAGCAGCCGCGGUGACACGUAGGCACCAAGCGUUAUCCGGAUUUAUUGGGCGUAAAGAGCUCGUAGGCGGUUCGGUAAGUCGGGUGUGAAAAACUCUGGGCUCAACCCAGAGAGGCCACUCGAUACUGCUGUGACUAGAGUGCGGUAGGGGAGCGGGGAAUUCAUGGUGUAGCGGUGAAAUGCGCAGAUAUCAUGAGGAACACCAGUGGCGAAGGCGCCGCUCUGGGCCGUAACUGACGCUGAGGAGCGAAAGCAUGGGUAGCAAACAGGAUUAGAUACCCUGGUAGUCCAUGCCGUAAACGUUGGGCACUAGGUGUGGGUCUCAACCAACGAGAUCCGCGCCGU